AAUAAAGUGGCCAGUGAGUGUAUAUUUUAAUGAAAUUUUAAAAGUGUGCAAUUCUUCCUGAGGCCACACACUGGCCUCCAUACCUGCCAGCCACCUGAGGUGAUCCCUCCCCCCUUUAAACUGACAUCUUUGAGAAAAAUGACAGGUGUUUAGGAGUCACCUGACCUACGCGCUCACUCAGCUCUUCCUCUGCUGCUCGACAGCAGCCUCCUCACUCACAUCCUCCUCGCGGAUCAUAACAAUCAGGUGUAAUGGAAGCUCCGGCACCCAGUGAGCUGUAAAUAGACACCGCUGUGCAGGCACACAACUUUAACCCAACUUUCCCAGCAGGCAUUGCUGCAGUGGACUCCCACCUUUCUCUCUCGCACUGCCACCUAAAUCACAGUUUUCAGCAGUAAGUUUCCUGCCAGAGCUGCCUACCAAGUCGCUGCUCUCCCCAGAGGUGGGCUGGUGGAAAUCGAGGCGAUCGCUGUUCUCGGUCCUCUCUCCGACUCCUGACUAGCCGGCCGCAUAACUAACAAGCUGUAGCGCCACCAAGUGUCAUUAUAGAUUCACUGUGGAAGCCUGAUUGUAUUUCCAGAGAACACCUGAAGAGCCACAUUGAAUUUCAACAUAGUCUUUUUCAGUGUUUCAAGAUUUAAAUUUCCAACAGAGCAACAUUCAGUUGUUAAUACCUCACAGCCUGCUCAUUAAACGGAGAGUAGGGAUACAGUAGGACUGGACACAACAUCAAGCCUCUUGGCUUCUGGUUUGAUAACUUCACUCAUUUAAAAAAAAGGAAAAAUGCUGUAACACAUCAGUGUGACAUGUUUGCUUUCAUCCUGCAUCAAAUUAAAACACAGAGAAUAUGUGUACUGGGUUUUAUUUUAAGGUAUUACUAAUUACAGAUUUUUGGGACUACUAAAAAUCACGACACAUCAGGAAAAAAAAUUGAUCUUGUAAGGGACAUGAAGCGAUGUCACUGAUAUUGACACUAUUGAUGUGACGCUAUACCUUGUUUAUGGUAAUACCUGAACUGCCAUGAAGUUACGUAAAUGCUAUGCUUUAGAUUACAGCCAGGAGUGUGGCAGAGACAUAAAAUCAACCUUUGGACUAAGUAGAUCAGUUAUGGAGGAGAAGUUUUUGCAGAAGUUCCUGUAACAACCUACCAUUCCCAGGAAUCUACGCAGUUCACAUCUUGUUUUAGGUGCGGGAUAUUCAUUAAUCGCCACCACUUUGGCGCUAAGGGGCCGCACCUGACCACGUCCAACUUCCCUGCUCAAGUAUGUUACAGUGGCCUUGGCAAAUUCACACUUUGCCAGGUUGCGUGUCAGAGCUGCUUAGGCCAAACGGUGAAAUACUUGGCGUAGGGUUUGCAAAUGAUCUUGCAACGUUUCAGUGUAAACCACCAGAUCAUCCAGAUAGGCACUGUAGUCGGAAAGGCCACUCAGAACUUUAUUUAUCAGCCUCUGAAAGGUAGCAGGUGCGUUACACAUCCCAAAAUCAUGAUCUUUUGAUUGAUAAACUAAAAUCUUAUGGAUUUUCACCAGCUGCUCUGUGCUGGAUGAAAAGUUACUUGUCUGGAAGAAGGCAAAAGGUUUAUUAUAAUGGC
Molecule: long non-coding RNA, 1591 nt
Organism: Oreochromis aureus
Lineage: Eukaryota; Metazoa; Chordata; Actinopteri; Cichliformes; Cichlidae
Source: Ensembl